UUAAAAGGCUGCUCCUUUCUCUUGUCAGGCACUGACAGAACUCUCAUGGGCCCCAAGGCCUGCAGCCACCCAGGGGCAAUUGUUGCCUCGUCCACCUCAGCUAUGCAGGGCCCUGUGGGGAAGCCUUAGCUGGUGUGCCUGGGACCUGGAUCCACCCCCAGCAUUACCUGCUUGAUGGUCAGUGCACUGAAAGCGGCUAUUUGGUGGCUUCCAGAGUAUAUGAAGUGUAAAGGAUGUUGAAACUGCGCAGCCUGACUCAGUUUUCCAACUUCAAAACUGCCUGCUGGUACAUGGAAAAGCACCUGCUGGAGGCGUUCAAAGACCAUCUAGAAGGCCAUUUGAAGGAGUUAUGGAAAAGUUAUAAAAUAAGUUGUAAUCAAGAGAUGACACUUUAUUGGCACAGGAGCAGAAGAGUUUUAUACCCAAUGCACAUAUUGCUCAGGAGGUUCAAGUUUCACUUGCCUAGAACCUAUUAUUGAAUUACAGACUUAGAAUCAAUAUGGGAAGCAGAUUAACUAAAUUACAACAAUUGGCACCAAGGCUUAAUCUCUUCACAGACCAGGUAAAUCUUCUAAUCCAUGACCAUAUACUUUAUCCUUAUGUAUUUGCUGAGCAAAAGGAUAAACAGAUUUCUUGUUACAAAUUAUUAUAAAAGAGACUGGACAAGUGAAAAGGGAUGAUUGAGCUCCUAAGCUUUCCCAUGGAUGAAAUCAAACAAACCCAAAGCACUGGGAAGUAUGAAUGCUGUUGAAAUAGCAUGUUCAAAAAUCUUAGUAUGUCUGGCAUGUAAUGAUAGGUAGCCAUUUUUAUUAUGCCAGGAAGGAUACUGAAAGAAAAGCAUUGGAAACUCCAUGAUGUUACAAAUUUUCUUCAAGCCCAAACCGUUAUAAGCUAGUGGGCCUCUGUCCAGCUCUCAGCUCCAGAAUACAUUAUUUAGACUAGUCAGUGUUUGCUGCCAGCUGUUAAUUUUUAAAAUUAGUUGUCAAGAUUUUAAAAUUGCAGUUUUCUGCAUUAAAAUUUGUAUUCCUAAUACUCCUUUAAAAAUCAGAACAUCUGGCACACUUCAGCUGAACCUGAGAAUGUCUAUAGUGUUUAGUCUUUAGACAGAAUAUACCAGUAUAAUGGCCAUCUUCCCUCCCUCUUCCCUUAGCCUUUUCUAUUUCUUUCCUUUUUUUUUUUUUUUUUUUUUGAGACAUAGGCUCUC
This is a long non-coding RNA of Cercocebus atys (sooty mangabey), 1204 nucleotides long. The record is from Ensembl. Lineage: Eukaryota; Metazoa; Chordata; Mammalia; Primates; Cercopithecidae.